RNAcentral lists this ribosomal RNA (490 nucleotides) under uncultured bacterium. Its description in RNAcentral is "partial 16S ribosomal RNA". It matches the Rfam family "Bacterial small subunit ribosomal RNA", at positions 28 to 507 of the family's 1533-position model. The record is from RNAcentral.
GAUGAACGCUAGCGAUAGGCUUAACACAUGCAAGUCGAGGGGCAGCAUGGUCUUAGCUUGCUAAGACUGAUGGCGACCGGCGCACGGGUGCGUAACGCGUAUGCAACUUGCCUCACAGAGGGGGAUAACCCGUCGAAAGACGGACUAAUACCGCGUACACUCCAUCUUGGGCAUCCAAGGUAGAGGAAAUGAAAUUCGCUGUGAGAUAGGCAUGCGUCCCAUUAGCUAGUUGGUGAGGUAACGGCUCACCAAGGCGACGAUGGGUAGGGGAACUGAGAGGUUGAACCCCCACACUGGUACUGAGACACGGACCAGACUCCUACGGGAGGCAGCAGUGAGGAAUAUUGGUCAAUGGGCGAGAGCCUGAACCAGCCAAGUCGCGUGAAGGAUGACUGUCUUAUGGAUUGUAAACUUCUUUUAGACGGGAAUAACAAGAGUCACGUGUGACUCCCUGCAUGUACCGUAUGAAUAAGCAUCGGCUAACUCCGUG